This 430-nucleotide ribosomal RNA is filed under the name uncultured bacterium. Its description in RNAcentral is "partial 16S ribosomal RNA". It matches the Rfam family "Bacterial small subunit ribosomal RNA", at positions 29 to 506 of the family's 1533-position model. The record is from RNAcentral.
AACGAACGCUGGCGGCAGGCUUAACACAUGCAAGUCGAACGCCCCGCAAGGGGAGUGGCAGACGGGUGAGUAACGCGUGGGAAUCUACCCAUCCCUACGGAAUAACGCAUGGAAACGUGUGCUAAUACCGUAUACGCCCUACGGGGGAAAGAUUUAUCGGGGAUGGAUGAGCCCGCGUUGGAUUAGCUAGUUGGUGGGGUAAAGGCCUACCAAGGCGACGAUCCAUAGCUGGUCUGAGAGGAUGAUCAGCCACAUUGGGACUGAGACACGGCCCAAACUCCUCCGGGAGGCAGCAGUGGGGACUAUUGGACAAUGGGCGCAAGCCUGAUCCAGCCAUGCCGCGUGAGUGAUGAAGGCCUUAGGGUUGUAAAGCUCUUUCACCGGAGAAGAUAAUGACGGUAUCCGGAGAAGAAGCCCCGGCUAACUUCGU